This 497-nucleotide ribosomal RNA is filed under the name uncultured bacterium. RNAcentral's name for it is "partial 16S ribosomal RNA". It matches the Rfam family "Bacterial small subunit ribosomal RNA", at positions 28 to 507 of the family's 1533-position model. The record is from RNAcentral.
GAUGAACGCUGGCGGCGUGCCUAAUACAUGCAAGUCGAGCGAACAGAUGAGGAUCUUGCUCCUCUGACGUUAUCGGCUGACGUGUGAGUAACACGUGUAUAACCUACCUAUAAUACUUGUAUAACUUCGGGAAACCGGAUCUACUACCGGAUAAUAUAUUGACCCGCUUUGUUCAAUAGUUAAUGACGGUUUUUCUGUCACUUAUAGAUGUAUCCACUCCGCAUUAGCUAGUUGUUAAGGUAACGGCUUACCAAGGCAACGAUUCGUAGCCGACAUGAGAGGGGGAUCGGACACACUGGAACGGAGACACGGAACAGAAUACUACGGGAGGCAGCAGUAGGGAAUAUUCCGCAAUGGGCGAAAGCAUGACGGAGCAAAGCCGCGUGAGUGAUGAAGGUCUUCGGAUCGUAAAACUCUGUUAUUAGGGAAGAACAAAUGUGUAAGUAACUAUGCACGUAUUGACGGUAACUAAUCAGAAAGCAACGGCUAACUACGUG